CUGUUUUAUGGGUGUGAAUGGGUUUAGCCUACCUCUUGAACUUUGGCCUCACUAAAGGCAGUUUUUAUCUCUGCAUCCUCUCGGCCUCCACCGGAUUGAUCAGGAGUUACAAGUUGAUGCCAUUCAUCAAAGGAGGGAGAUAAAAAUCCUUUGCCAACAAGGAAUUUAAAUGCCCGUGCUAGCUGCAUCCAAAUUCUGCUUGAAUUUAUUGCUACCUUUUGAUGAUUUGGCUUUUAAGAUGAUUGAUUCAGAAGGCUAUUGAUUUCCCCAUAUUAUGAAGGCAGAUUUUUUUUUUCACCCAACUGACAUUGUUUAAAGAUGGGAUAGCAAAAGAUAUAAAUGUAUGAGUUUUCUUUGUGUUUUGACUCAAAGGAAGCUCUGGGUGGAGCUAAAGAAACAGCUGGCUUCUGAAAAUAACACGUAAUAGGAAGUGUGCUGAGGAGAGAUAGGGGAGUAUCGUGAAUUUGGUUCAGCUCAGUAAACAUUUCUUGAGCCCCACUUUUUUCCAUACACACGCAAGGAGAUAGCAAGACGGUCCGUGCACAGUUCUAUCCCUUACGGAGCUCUCGAUUGGUUUUUGUUUGGUUUUGUGUUUUUAAACCUCUCAGAAUGCAGACUGCAAAGGAGUGAGAAGUUAAUUAUGUAUAGGCCACAGGGACAAAGUAACAUCUAUGAAGGGAAAAGAGUUUGAAGUCAUACUGACCAUAGAUUGAGAACAAAAUUAUUGUUCAUGACUCUCAGGUCCCAUGUCAGGAAAUGACUUUCAGAGUGGAUUCAGAAAGGGUACUGGUAGAACUGGAGAAAUGGCCCGGCGCUUGAGAGCACGUACUGGUUUUCCAAAGGACCCAAGUUCAGCUCUCAGCACCAUUGUUGGAUAGCUCACAACUGCCUGAAACUCCGCACCAGGAGAUUGGAUAUCCUUUUCUGGUCUCCACAGGCCCUUGGUCUCACGUGGACAUAUUCACACUAUACAAUCUUUUAAGGGGAGUGGGAGGGUAAUUGAUAGAGGCGAUGGCUCUGGACAGAAUGCUUGCCAUGUAAGUCUGAGGAACUAAGAUCUCAUUCCCUGAGCCCACAUAAAAUCCAAGUGAGAGUCUAGUGCAUCUGCAAUUACAGCAGGACAGGAGAAUCUGGAAACUCAGGGGACAGUCAGCUUGGUGUACCCAGUGAACAACGAAAGAGAGACCCUGUCACAAACAAGGUGACAUGUGAGGACCAGUGCCUGAGGUUGCUCUCUGACCUCCACACAUGUACCAAGGCACUCAUGCAUGUAGUCACACAAACGCCCACCACAUAUGCACAGAGGUGAUGCUGUGCAGAACAUGCGGGAUUUCUGAGGAGUCAACUUUUAGCCCUAGUCACAUGGACACAAGAUGGUCAUCUGUUUUCUUGGUUGUCUACUCUCUUGAUGGUGUGACAUCCAGGUGUCAGCAGGCAUUCCUGACCCUUGUAAACCUGAAGAAAAGUGACUGAUUGGAGGUGAUGUGACAGAUAGCUGUCUUCCUGACAGUUCCCCUUACCCGUCACAGACAAGGCUGCCCUACUGGUUAGUUCUUUGGGGAGUGUGGUUAAACAGUGAAAAACACACUUGUUAGUCCAUGCCACAUGCUGUGAUGUCCAAGCUCAUCUCUGCACUUCCUGGCUGCCAUGAGGUAGACAUCUCUGCUGCACUGUGUUCCCUCCACCAUGAUACUCUGCCCCAUCACAGGCCACAAUGUUCACGCUAAGCAAGUAAUAGAAAGAUGUCAGAAAGUGACUCAAAAGAAGUCUUUCCUUAGGUUGUUUGAUGCACUAUCACCACAACUACCACAGCUGAGCAACAUGUAGAACACGUGUGUGGUAUCAGAUGAGAUUUGUUACUAUAAGUACACAAGAUGGUGUGCUCUGUCAGGAGAAUCUGCAGUUUCUUGUCUCAGGAUGGGUUGUCCCUUUCUGAUGUCAAGCAGAGUGUUAGGAGAUCCAUCUGCCUCUGCAUAUGUGACCAUAGUCUUUGUCCACUUAAGACCAUAUUGUUGAUUCGGUCUCGCUCUCAUGGCAUUCCCACCUGAGAAGUUGCAGUGCCUCCGGUUGAACAGACUGUUCCUGGGAAAUCAUGAUGGGCUCAGAGACCCCUAAGCCCUCUCUUACAGAGUGAACUUAGGAAGUUUCAGUCAUAAAAACUCUCUCCUCCAUGAUAGGACUGUUCAGACAUGUACCUUCCCUGUUCAUGUGAACUGCGGACCUUCUGCAGUGUAGCUUGUCAUGAGGAUAGGCACUUGUCUCUCUUCCUGUCUAUAAACUGUUCAUAAAUA
Molecule: long non-coding RNA, 2291 nt
Organism: Mus musculus (house mouse)
Lineage: Eukaryota; Metazoa; Chordata; Mammalia; Rodentia; Muridae
Product: predicted gene, 53249
Exons: 2
Source: RefSeq, a predicted model, not a curated record